AAAACUGGACUCUUCAGAGGGAUUAGUGAUUGGUUUGAUUGCGACAUAUGCAAAACUGACCGGAGAAGCCCUCCUUGUUAAAAACGAGAAGACUCGCUUUAUUUAGUGGCUGCUGCAUGAAGAGGAGACACGUAGGGAGUGAACAGCACUGCUGGACACACGCUGCCACACUGCUGUUGAUAGAACAGAUCCGGAUUAACAAGGAGCAGUUACACAAACCUGGCCAGAAGAAACGUGUCUGGGACAGAAUUGCAUUAAAUAUUCAGGCGGUUGGAUACAGUUUUAUAAGUUCAGUAGUAUGUGACAAAUGGUAAAAUUUAAAAAGAACUUACAAAACUGUAUCUGACAACAAUAAUAAAACCGGGACAGGAAAAAAAAAAAAUUGUAUAUAUGAAACAGAAUUUGUUAAUAAAAUU
Molecule: long non-coding RNA, 416 nt
Organism: Acipenser ruthenus (sterlet)
Lineage: Eukaryota; Metazoa; Chordata; Actinopteri; Acipenseriformes; Acipenseridae
Exons: 2
Source: RefSeq, a predicted model, not a curated record